This 402-nucleotide ribosomal RNA is filed under the name uncultured bacterium. RNAcentral describes it as "bacterial SSU rRNA". It matches the Rfam family "Bacterial small subunit ribosomal RNA", at positions 362 to 758 of the family's 1533-position model. The record is from RNAcentral.
UUUUGCGCAAUGGACGAAAGUCUGACGCAGCGACGCCGCGUGAAGGAAGACGGUUUUCGGAUUGUAAACUUCUGUUAAGUGGGAAGAAAUACGCCUGGUUAAUACCCAGGUGGGCUGACGGUACCACUAGAGAAAGCACCGGCAAACUUCGUGCCAGCAGCCGCGGUAAUACGAAGGGUGCAAGCGUUAUUCGGAGUGACUGGGCGUAAAGAGCGCGUAGGCGGUCUUUUAAGUCGCGUGUUAAAUUCCACAGCUUAACUGUGGGUCAGCAUGCGAAACUGAAAGACUAGAGGGUAAGAGAGAGCAGUGGAAUUCUCGGAGUAGCGGUAAAUGCGUAGAUCUCGAGAGGAACACCGGUAGCGAAGGCGGCUGCUUGGCUUAUCCCUGACGCUGAGCGCGAAG